UACAGAGGGGGCAAGCGUUGUUCGGAUUCACUGGGCGUAAAGGGUGCGCAGGCGGCCAAGUGUGUGAGGCGUGAAAGCCCGGGGCUUAACCCCGGAAUUGCACCUCAAACUACAUGGCUAGAGCAUUGGAGAGGGUAGCGGAAUUCACGGUGUAGCAGUGAAAUGCGUAGAUAUCGUGAGGAACACCAGAGGCGAAGGCGGCUACCUGGACAAUUGCUGACGCUCAGGCACGAAAGCGUGGGGAGCAAAAGGG
RNAcentral lists this ribosomal RNA (253 nucleotides) under uncultured bacterium. RNAcentral's name for it is "partial 16S ribosomal RNA". It matches the Rfam family "Bacterial small subunit ribosomal RNA", at positions 524 to 776 of the family's 1533-position model. The record is from RNAcentral.